CCUACGGGAGGCAGCAGUAGGGAAUCUUCCACAAUGGGCGAAAGCCUGAUGGAGCAACGCCGCGUGAGUGAUGAAGGCCUUCGGGUUGUAAAACUCUGUCAUUCGGGACGAACCGGAGUCUGAGGAAAUGCGGACUCUCUGACGGUACCGGAGGAGGAAGCCCCGGCUAACUACGUGCCAGCAGCCGCGGUAAUACGUAGGGGGCAAGCGUUGUCCGGAUUCACUGGGCGUAAAGCGCGCGCAGGCGGUGAUGUAAGUCUGAGGUGAAAACCCCGAAGCUCAACUUCGGGACUGCCUUGGAUACUGCGUCACUUGAGGAUAGGAGAGGCAAGGGGAAUUCCACGUGUAGCGGUGAAAUGCGUAGAGAUGUGGAGGAACACCUGUGGCGAAGGCGCCUUGCUGGCCUAUUUCUGACGCUGAGGCGCGAAAGCGUGGGGAGCAAACAGGAUUAGAUACCCUGGUAGUCCACGCUGUAAACGAUGAGUGCUAGGUGUAGGUGGGCUCAAUCCCAUCUGUGCCGAAGCUAACGCAUUAAGCNCNCCGCCGNGGGAGGUACGGUCGCGAGACGUAGAAACGUUAAAGGUAAGUUAGACGGACGUGAGACGUUGCCGACGGACGACGACGAGGGGAGGAGG
This 635-nucleotide ribosomal RNA is filed under the name uncultured bacterium. RNAcentral describes it as "bacterial SSU rRNA". The stretch from base 1 to 545 matches the Rfam family "Bacterial small subunit ribosomal RNA", at positions 338 to 873 of the family's 1533-position model. The record is from RNAcentral.